This 935-nucleotide small RNA is filed under the name Malus domestica (apple). Its description in RNAcentral is "sRNA MD12G0092100". The record is from RNAcentral. Lineage: Eukaryota; Viridiplantae; Streptophyta; Magnoliopsida; Rosales; Rosaceae.
AUGUUGGGGUUUAUUUCAGUGUUGUUUUGUUUUGGGCUCUUGGGUUACUUUGAAGGUCCAUUCUUUUGCUUGUGUUGUUAUGUCGGAGGAACUGAAUUGGGCCUGAAGUAGCAAAAUACUGCAUUCAAAUCAAACUUGAUGGUCCCUCAGAGUCGGAGGCAUCAUCAUUUGCAAAUGCAAAACGACCCAAGAUCUCCACUUCUUGUAGCAAACAUGGGAGGGAUUAUUAGGAAACCUCCUGAAGAAACACACGCACUGUAGAUGUUGACAUGGAUAAAUAUUCAACGCAAAGAAACUUGAAUGGCAUCAGCAAUCUGUGGGAGGCCAUUGACAUUCUUCACAUCUCGAAGUCGGAGCCACAACCAUCCAUCAGAUCAGAUGCCGGUGUUCCUGCUCUUAGACUCGUCGUCCCCAAUCGCCGUAAUCCUCUCCGUCAUCCUCUUCCUUCUCCUAUUUCGCUUUGCUAUCCUCCUCUUGUUCCUCGUCCUCAUCUUUUUUCUCUGCGCAGACCUCGUCCACCUCCUCUUUCGUCUUUGAUUUAAUGUGAGGGUGGUGAUAAAAGGGAGAGUGCAGGGUGUGUUUUACGGGGACUGCACUGUGCGGGAUGCAACUGAAUUAGGCUUGAAAGGUUGGGUUCGGAACCGGAUUGAUGGGUCUUUGGAACACUGCUUUCCGGGAACCCUGAUGCAGUUAAAGAGAUGGAGCAGAGGCGUCGCCGUGGUCCUCCAUCCGCAGUAGUCACGGGGCUCGAGGUUGACAAUCUUGCUUGCUUUAUGCUCCUUAGUUUGGAGGAAUCUUAGGCUUUAAGGGGAAUACUGUAAAUUAUUCUGUUAAAGAUAAGACUUAGAAAUUGUCAUUACUACCGUGUGUAAAUGGGUGUAUAUAUAUUCAAAAUGUAAUCUUAUUUCUUUAAUCAAUGAAAUCAUAUAUUUGUA